RNAcentral lists this ribosomal RNA (474 nucleotides) under uncultured bacterium. RNAcentral's name for it is "bacterial SSU rRNA". It matches the Rfam family "Bacterial small subunit ribosomal RNA", at positions 30 to 523 of the family's 1533-position model. The record is from RNAcentral.
AUUGAACGCUGGCGGCAUGCCUUACACAUGCAAGUCGAACGGCAGCGGGCCUUCGGGUGCCGGCGAGUGGCGAACGGGUGAGUAAUGCAUCGGAACGUGCCAUUGAGUGGGGGGAUAACGUAGCGAAAGUUACGCUAAUACCGCAUAUUCUGUGAGCAGGAAAGCAGGGGACCGCAAGGCCUUGCGCUCUUUGAGCGGCCGAUGUCAGAUUAGCUAGUUGGUGAGGUAAAGGCUUACCAAGGCGACGAUCUGUAGCGGGUCUGAGAGGAUGAUCCGCCACACUGGAACUGAGACACGGUCCAGACUCCUACGGGAGGCAGCAGUUAGGAAUCUUGCGCAAUGGGGGAAACCCUGACGCAGCCAUGCCGCGUGAAUGAUGAAGGUCUUAGGAUUGUAAAAUUCUUUCAGCGGGGACGAUAAUGACGGUACCCGCAGAAGAAGCCCCGGCUAACUUCGUGCCAGCAGCCGCGGUAA